ACCUUUUUUCGAAUACUUUCUCUCUCUACUGCAACUGGGUUUUUUUUUUUCUAAUGUCUUUAUAAGGACCGGUCUCGGACAGUUCUUGAAGAUCUUCUUCUUCUUCCUUUGUCGAAACAAAUAUCUCGCAAAUGGAUUCUCAUGCAUCGCUCUUUUGAUCUUAACAAAGCAAUAUAGAACUCUCUCUCUCUCUCUCUCUCUCUCUCUCUCUGUGUAGCGUAUUGCGAAGACAUGCAGAGGGUCUUCUAAGACAUCGUGAUUAACGUUGAGUAUGAGGUGCAAUAUCGGCCGAAAUGGACAAGUUCUGAAGAUAGUGUAACGCUUCAUCAGGAAUUACAGAAGAAGAAAGAGAAACAAUUAAAAAUCUUUUUUUUAGAGGCAAAAGAUAAGGGGGAAAAUGGCUCCGACGACGAACUGGUUAAAGUUUUCGCUGUCACCAAUGGAGAUGCUGAGGUCAUCUGAUCAGUCUCAGUUCGUGUCCUAUGACGCCUCUUCCGCCGCCUCUCCUCACUAUCUCAUCGAUAACUUCUAUGGGUGGACGAACCAGAAGCCCCGGGAAUUAUUCAAAGAAGAAGAGCAGAUAACAGCUUCCAUGGCGGAUUCAACCAUCCUCACCACCUUCGCCGACCCACAAACCCACGCCCAUAAUCCCAUCCCCAAGCUCGAAGAUUUUCUCGGCGACUCCUCUUCCAUCGUCCGUUACUCCUCCGACUGCCAAACCGAAACCCAAGACUCGUCCCUCACCCAAAUCUACGACACCCAUCGCCACCCAGCCGCCGCCGGUUUCUUCUCCGACCACCGUGCCAUAGCUGGGUUUCAGACAGCAUUCUCCGCAAACUCCGGCUCCGAGGUCGAUGACUCCACCUCCAUCGGCCGGACCCAUCUGGGCGCCGGCGAGUUUAUCGGCCACGUGGUGGAUUCAUCCGGUCAGGAGCUAGGUUUCCACGGCGGCGGAGCUUUUUCACGUGAGGCAAACAACAAGGCAAGGGCUGAUCCGUAUAGUGGUGGUAACGACAUCAAUGGUAAGACUGUUGCCGUGAACGAGAAGGCGGUAGUGGCUGUGGAAACGCCGGACUGCUCGAAGAAGAUCGCCGACACGUUCGGGCAACGGACUUCGAUUUUCCGAGGAGUCACUCGACACAGAUGGACGGGGAGAUAUGAAGCGCAUCUAUGGGAUAAUAGCUGUAGAAGGGAGGGUCAGGCCAGGAAAGGGCGUCAAGUGUAUUUAGGUGGAUAUGACAAGGAAGAGAAGGCGGCUCGAGCCUACGAUCUAGCUGCUCUUAAGUACUGGGGUCCGACUGCAACUACCAAUUUCCCGAUCUCGAAUUACACAAAAGAAAUGGAGGAAAUGAAACCCCUGACGAAGCAAGAGUUCAUUGCAUCCCUCAGGAGGAAGAGUAGCGGAUUCUCGAGGGGUGCCUCGAUAUACAGGGGUGUCACGAGGCAUCAUCAGCAGGGGCGUUGGCAGGCGAGGAUUGGCCGUGUUGCGGGUAACAAGGAUCUUUAUCUCGGAACAUUUGCGACGGAGGAAGAGGCGGCCGAGGCUUACGACAUUGCGGCCAUAAAGUUCAGAGGAGUAAAUGCCGUUACGAAUUUCGAGAUGAGUCGGUAUGACGUAGAGGCCAUCAUGAAGAGUUCUCUACCAAUCGGCGGUGUGGCCAAACGCCUCAAGCUCUCACUUGAAUCUUCCGAGCCAAAACCCACCAUGGGCCACCACCACCACCUGCAGCAGCAGCAGUUCGAGCCAUCGCCCGACCACAUCAACUUCGCCCUGGCCACCAACUCGCCGAUCCAGACUCAGAUCCCUUGCGGAAUCCCCUUUGAGGCUGCGGCUCUGUACCAUUACCAUAACCCGAGCCUCUUCCAACACUUGCCGAUCUCCGACUCGUCCGGGUCUAACUCCACAGUUCAGGCUCCUCCAAUGGCGCCGAACCCCGCUGAGUUCUUCUUGUGGCCGAACCAGUCUUACUAAUUACAUCAUCACCUCGUACCCAUAUGAAGUGAAGUGAAGUGAAGUGGUUAGUUCGGGUUUGUCGUUUUUUUAAUUGUUUUCCGGUAAGAGACUUAUGUCGGGUAGUUUUUAAGGGUACAAGUUGGAUCAGGGAGCUAACCGUUGCUGAGAGACACAAGGGAAGGGGCCUUUCUUCUUGCUUCCGGCUAACUCAUAAGCUGACCACAAAGCUUACUACAUCUUUUUUUUUUUUGUCUCUUCUCGUUAACCGUAGGUGCAAGUAGGGGGGAGGAAAAUGACAUAAACUCAAAGUUCUGGGGCCCUUUGUAUUAACUUUUAAUCUGGGUGGGUGGGAAGUUCUAGUUUCUGGAAGUUUAGGGGCGGUUUUGAGUUUUAAUUUUUGUAUGUAUCUGCUUAUCCUAUCGGUGCAAUUCUCUUUCAAUUUAAAGUUCUUCACUUGUCUUUGCAAAUUGAAUUCUCAUUUUUCUUCGCAUAACUGUCAAUCGUGGUUAAUAAAAAUAGGUUACAUGUGGGCCUCGCUGACUCGAUUGAUAAGAACAAGCUAAAUCCAAAAAAAUCUGAAAGUGUGGGGUUACAAUUGGAAAGCAUAAGUUUUCAAACUGACACGGACGUUAUGAACCGGGCCGGUUCAAGCCAUCACGAGCUGGGGCCAAACUCGGUUCGGUUUUCAAGGCCUCAUUGUAAGCCCAAUGGACCUUCUCCUUCAAGCCCUUGGACUCGUAACACGCGCCCAACGAACGAAAUAUCCUCGCCGUGCUGUCUCCUGCUCCGCCGCUGCCGGUUGCGGCGGUCGACAGUUCCGCCCCCUCCAGAUCCUCGAUCGCUGAAUCGAUUCGCCGCGAGCUAAAUCUCAGCCCUUUUCACCAGCGCCUCCGCUCGCUCUCCGUCCGUGAGUGACUUCACGCGCGGCUAGGUCAGAGCCAAAUCGAAUGACUUGAGCGCGGGGGUUCGGUGGUCGAGCAGAUCUAGCGCUAGGGAUCGGACGAUGUGAGCGGCCGCAUCGUCGGGGGAGAGAGAGAUCGCGGCCUCGGCCUGGGCGAGCGCGGACUUGGCCAAGGAGAGGGAGUGCGAUCGGCUGCUGAACACGGAAAUGGAAGAGGGGAAGGAGUAGCUGAACAUUGGCACUCUCUUUGUGGAGAGAUAUCCACAAUGGAUGAGAC
This is an RNA transcript of Tarenaya hassleriana, 3132 nucleotides long. It is a transcript of the gene named AP2-like ethylene-responsive transcription factor AIL6, with no coding region annotated. The record is from RefSeq and is a predicted model, not a curated record. The transcript is spliced from 11 exons. Lineage: Eukaryota; Viridiplantae; Streptophyta; Magnoliopsida; Brassicales; Cleomaceae.